This is an RNA transcript of Neocloeon triangulifer, 2927 nucleotides long. It is a transcript of the gene named BRCA1-associated RING domain protein 1-like, with no coding region annotated. The record is from RefSeq and is a predicted model, not a curated record. The transcript has 14 exons. Lineage: Eukaryota; Metazoa; Arthropoda; Insecta; Ephemeroptera; Baetidae.
GCCACUAGAGCUAGACAGCUAGAGCCACUAGUAAUGGGAAAAUGUAAACAAAGCUCAACGCAAGAGAUCAUGCACAAAUUUUAACUGCGCUACCGCUACUUGAUUUAAAUUUGUAUAAUAUUUUUCCCUCUUAAAAAUCUACGCAAAUCAUGGCAGAAGUUUCGGAAUAUCUACGUAAAUUUCUUGCAGAUUGCGAGCGAGAAUUCAGCACCCGGUACACAGACGAGGACCCCGAGUUCAUCAAUUACCGCAAAUCCACCCAACGCGGACCGCCUUUGGAAGAGAAAUGGUUUGGUAGGCAGCCAAGACAAUUUGAUCGAAGCGAUCGCGGAAGAUCUGAUCGGAAUGAUCAGGGCAGACGGGAUGACAGGAGAGGAGGAGGACGAGACGGGAGGGAUAGAGGUGACUCAUAUCGCGGUCCAGACAGACAUAGAGACCAGCAUCAGUCGCGGCACCAUCCAUAUGGACAUCAUUCUGACCGACCUAGAUAUAGAUAACGUCAAUAUUAAAAACAGUUUAAUUUGAGCCCAACUCUAGAAAAAAGUAAGAUGCCACUUGACGACUCAAAAUUUAGACACGCCGUGGUUGGUGCGUUGAAAUGUUUGCAGUGCGAAAUCUGUGAGGAGGAGAGCCUGGAACUACUGCCUGGGCUUUGCGUAAGCCACGCGUUUUGUCAAGCAUGUUCCACCACAUAUUCAGCUUGUCCGUCGUGCAAGAGCGAUUUCAAACCCAAUGAGUCGAUCACGUUUUCCGUUGAUCCGCAAAUGCUGACAGCCUUGCACAGCUUGGAGUCGCUCUUGAAAGUAGGAACUGUUGAGGUUGAGACACCAGUGAAAAAACCAGUAUCUAGAAAAUCUGGAGGAAAACCUUCACUGCCGGAGUCAACUUUAAUUUCUUCAGCUAAAUUUGAUCUUGUCGACGCACCAAUACAAACUCCAGCACUUAAAAAAACUACAGACAAACCGCUACUACUAUCGCCAACUCCUGUACCUUCUCCUGCUAAAUCCGAGUCAACUGUGGUGUCUGUAACUUCAACUCCAGCGAGAAUGAGAGGCAGAAAAUCUUCACUGUGCAGCCCUGUGCCUGAUAUCAACAAGAGAAAUACUAAAGGAGAAACUUUGGUGCAUGUGGCUUGCAUAAAGAAAAAUUUUGAAGAAGUGGAAAGACUGCUGAGUCUGGGAGCAAACUGCUGUGUCCGAGACUACAAUGGAUGGACUCCUUUGCACGAAGCUGCUCAAAGUAACAGAAUGGAUAUUGCCAAAAUUUUGUUGGAGCAUGGUGCACGAGUAAAUGCAGCUGGUGGAGAAGAAUAUUUGACUCCUUUGCAUGAUGCCGUCUCCACUGGUUAUACGGAAAUGGUCAAGCUCCUCGUGAGAUUCGGAGCAGAUCCUGAUCAGAGAAGCAUAAAAGGAGAGAUAGCCAAGGAAUUGACGAAAAAUGCAGAAAUCAUCGAAGCCUUACAGAAUAUAAGCUCUCCUGAAAAAGAUUCGUCGACGUUGACAAGUGAAAUCACAUUUGCUGAUGGUCGACCCUUGCUGAUCAUGUCGAGCGGUUUAGACAAGAAUCAUAAGUCUGCCUUGCUUUCAUUUUUGAAGAUUUACCCUGGAAAAAUCGUUAACAAACCAAGUGGCGAUGUGAAGGUAGUAGUUGUCAAUAACGAGAAUAAUAUUUGCAACACUUCCAUAGCAGUGCUCACUGGAAUUGCUGCUGGUUCUUGGGUUGUCAGACCAGAAUGGUUAAGCACUUGUGUUGAAACUCGUUCUUUGGUAGAUCCUGUGCCAUACGAGUUGUAUGGAACGAAAAACUCGACUACGCCCAAUGUUUUCCGGCGUGCCAGGAUAAAUUCCAACGACAUGCUUCCUGGUCUGUUUGCUGGAUGCCAUUUUUUCUUCAGCAACAUUGAAAAAUUUGGAUCUGAUUUGAACAAGGAUGUCAUCAUGCAGAUUGUGAAAGUGAUGGGUGGACGGGUCUUGUCUCGGUCUCCAGAUCCCGAGAAUAUAUCUGGAGAUGGCGAUGUUCCUUUCCAUGCAAACGCAUCUGGACCUUUGGCAAAAUGCUCGCACUACAUCAUUUUUGAAAAGGGAAAGACCAAGAAGAAUUUCAUUGAGUUUAACAUGCAGCACAUCAAAGCUCUCCAAUACUCCUGGCUCAUAAAGUGCAUUGAAAAUUUUGAACUGAUUGAUCCAUAAUAAAAUGAAGAAGAAUUAAACUUACUUUACAGUUUUUUUCUCAUUACAAAUAAUUUGAGCUUGUAUAAGGACUUGACGAGCAGCAUUGUUGAUGUGUUGGAAUCUUGCUGGACCCAAGUGAACUCCACCAAACCAUCUUGUAACAAUGACCAGCACGUCGGAUGCAUUCAGAAUCUAAUGUAAAUGGAGCAUUCGACUGCCAGCAUGAGUUUCUCCAUCAUCAUCACAGUCACUAAUAAUGUUGCCUGACCUCUGAAUGCGGUAGGCAUAUAUGUUGUGGGUUGUAUUAGCUACUUUUUUGAUUUGGUGGAGAGCUUUUAAGGCAGAUCUGAGGCAGUUCACAGAAGUUAAAAUCGAGACAAGUUUUAAGCGGAAAUAGCCAUACUUGAUAUCACUAAUGUUCUUAACUAUUGCAACAUGUCCUUGGAAUGUGCAUUUCCCUGCUGAGAGUGGUUCUCCGUGAAUCAGGGGGUAAUGAGGAAAAACAUCUUUAAUUUCAUCCACGUUAAAUUUUGUUUUCUCUUCCAUUGAAUCAUUUGAAACUGGUUGAAAGGAACUGAGGGCUUCUCGAAGCUUUACUACCCAUUGGAAAAUGACAGGAAGACAUUCUGAAGCUGAUUGUCUACAUCAAGUCCGUCUUCUCCCUUGAGCCAAGGCGCAGAAAUUUGGUAGAUUGGGGGACUGUCUGCUGGGUAGUUGAGUGGAAACUUAAAGAAUAACAUUGCCUCUCUUCCUCCC